CGGUAUGCUGACGAGUGGCGAACGGGUGAGUAAUACAUCGGAACGUGCCCGAUCGUGGGGGAUAACGAAGCGAAAGCUUUGCUAAUACCGCAUACGAUCUACGGAUGAAAGCAGGGGACCGCAAGGCCUUGCGCGAACGGAGCGGCCGAUGGCAGAUUAGGUAGUUGGUGGGAUAAAAGCUUACCAAGCCGACGAUCUGUAGCUGGUCUGAGAGGACGACCAGCCACACUGGGACUGAGACACGGCCCAGACUCCUACGGGAGGCAGCAGUGGGGAAUUUUGGACAAUGGGCGAAAGCCUGAUCCAGCCAUGCCGCGUGCAGGAUGAAGGCCUUCGGGUUGUAAACUGCUUUUGUACGGAACGAAA
This 366-nucleotide ribosomal RNA is filed under the name Acidovorax sp. '14.5 MW-16'. RNAcentral describes it as "bacterial SSU rRNA". It matches the Rfam family "Bacterial small subunit ribosomal RNA", at positions 81 to 450 of the family's 1533-position model. The record is from RNAcentral. Lineage: Bacteria; Pseudomonadati; Pseudomonadota; Betaproteobacteria; Burkholderiales; Comamonadaceae.